AGUGAACGCUGGCGGUAGGCCUAACACAUGCAAGUCGAACGGCAGCACAGUAAGAGCUUGCUCUUACGGGUGGCGAGUGGCGGACGGGUGAGGAAUACAUCGGAAUCUACUUUUUCGUGGGGGAUAACGUAGGGAAACUUACGCUAAUACCGCAUACGACCUACGGGUGAAAGCAGGGGAUCUUCGGACCUUGCGCGAUUGAAUGAGCCGAUGUCGGAUUAGCUAGUUGGCGGGGUAAAGGCCCACCAAGGCGACGAUCCGUAGCUGGUCUGAGAGGAUGAUCAGCCACACUGGAACUGAGACACGGUCCAGACUCCUACGGGAGGCAGCAGUGGGGAAUAUUGGGAAAUGGGCGCAAGCCUGAUCCAGCCAUACCGCGUGGGGGAAGAAGGCCUUCGGGUUGUAAAGCCCUUUUGUUGGGAAAGAAAAGCAGCAGGUUAAUACCCCGCUGUUCUGAGGGUACCCAAAGAAUAAGCACCGGCUAACUUCGUG
This 492-nucleotide ribosomal RNA is filed under the name uncultured bacterium. RNAcentral describes it as "partial 16S ribosomal RNA". It matches the Rfam family "Bacterial small subunit ribosomal RNA", at positions 29 to 507 of the family's 1533-position model. The record is from RNAcentral.